CAGAAAGAGCAGAGGCAGAGCUAUGCUUGGAUACAUGAACGAAAACCGAAAUAUCGGGUGAUGGAGUUGACGUUUGCAUCUCGGACUUCGAAUCACUCAGCGGCAUCAGCGACGGCGACGGCAACCUCGACGGCUUCUUUUAGUGGGAGGAUUGGCGCUUUCUUGAGAAUCAGUGAAUUUCCAGUGAGAAAGAGGAGAUUGAGCUUGAGUGAUGGAGGCAUUAAUAGAGUUCAACUUCGGUGCGCUAAAGUGUCUUCGGAGAGAAGCAGUGAAGGGAUAGAAGAACGAAACAGUACGAGGGGAGGAGGAGGGUUCACAGGAAGUGCGAUGGAAGUGACCACAUUUGAUCGGAGCUUUAGCGACACUGAGUUCCCUGUUUGGGAGAAGAUUGGCGCUGUGGUUAGACUUAGCUAUGGAAUCGGUAUAUAUGGUGCCAUGGCUUUAGCAGGACGGUUCUUAUGCUCAAUCACUGGAAUAGAUAGCAUGGGAGGUUUUGAAGUAUCUAUAGAUGCCAUUGUUGAAGGGCUUGGAUAUGCAUCUCCACCAAUUAUGGCGCUUCUUUUUAUAUUGGAUGAUGAAGUUGUGAAGCUAUCACCUCAUGCUCGAGCUAUCAGAGAUGUGGAAGAUGAAGAACUUCGGAGUUUCUUUUAUGGGAUGUCACCUUGGCAGUUUAUACUGAUUGUUGUUGCAAGUUCUGUGGGAGAAGAGCUUUUCUACCGAGCUGCUGUUCAGGGAGCAUUGGCUGAUGUAUUCAUAAGGGGCACCAAUUUGGUGACAGAUGCUCGAGGAAUGGCAUCUCUGACUGGUGUGCUGCCUCCAUUUGUUCCAUUUGCUCAGGCAUUUGCGGCUGUAUUGACAGCUGCUCUUACAGGUUCUCUGUAUUAUGUGGCCGCCUCCCCAAAAGAUCCUGCUUAUGUAGUUGCACCAGUUUUGCAAUCUCAGUCUGGCCGCGAAGAUCUGAAAAAGCUCUUUGCAGCAUGGUAUGAGAGGAGGCAAAUGAAAAAGAUCUAUUCUCCCCUCUUAGAAGGACUUUUGGCUCUCUAUCUUGGUUUUGAAUGGAUCCAGACAAAUAAUAUUCUUGUACCGAUUAUUACACAUGGCAUAUAUUCAGCCGUUGUAUUGGGACAUGGCCUUUGGAAGAUACACGAUCACCGCAGAAGACUACACCAGAGAAUCCGGCAGCUAAAACUAGAUGAAAUAAACCCUAAGUAGAGCAUGAAAGAGCUGUUAAUGGAGUAAAUGGCAACGAAACUUGUAUACUACAUGUUGAGAUAAUUAUUUGUUAUGAGAGACGGUAUCGAAGUUUGUAUAAUGUAGAAGUACACUGUAUAGUAGUAGUUU
This 1341-nucleotide unclassified non-coding RNA is filed under the name Hevea brasiliensis (rubber tree). The record is from RNAcentral. Lineage: Eukaryota; Viridiplantae; Streptophyta; Magnoliopsida; Malpighiales; Euphorbiaceae.